RNAcentral lists this long non-coding RNA (277 nucleotides) under Medicago truncatula (barrel medic). RNAcentral's name for it is "long non-coding RNA (MTRU_LNC006035)". The record is from RNAcentral. Lineage: Eukaryota; Viridiplantae; Streptophyta; Magnoliopsida; Fabales; Fabaceae.
AACUGUUUGCAAAUAGUACUUAUAUUAUUAGUAGGAUAGUGCUUAACAUCACAAGGAAAUAACCACAACAAUAUCACGACCCUUGUAAUUAAAAGUCUUCCUAAAUUUACAACCACUAAUCGUCGUAUUUUUCGGCAAGGGUUUUUAUAGGUCCACCUAAGAUUCGUGAAACCUUCGUGAGCAAUACUCGUGAGAUAGACCUUUUCGGCAAGGGUUUUUAUAGGUCCACCUAAGAUUCGUGAAACCUUCGUGAGCAAUACUCGUGAGAUAGACCUUU